AACGAACGCUGGCGGCAGGCCUAACACAUGCAAGUCGAGCGCACCUUCGGGUGAGCGGCGGACGGGUUAGUAACGCGUGGGAACGUGCCCUUCUCUACGGAAUAGCCUCUGGAAACGGAGAGUAAUACCGUAUACGCCCUUUGGGGGAAAGAUUUAUCGGAGAAGGAUCGGCCCGCGUUAGAUUAGGUAGUUGGUGGGGUAACGGCCUACCAAGCCUACGAUCUAUAGCUGGUUUUAGAGGAUGAUCAGCAACACUGGGACUGAGACACGGCCCAGACUCCUACGGGAGGCAGCAGUGGGGAAUCUUAGACAAUGGGGGCAACCCUGAUCUAGCCAUGCCGCGUGAGUGAUGAAGGCCUUAGGGUCGUAAAGCUCUUUCGCCUGUGAUGAUAAUGACAGUAGCAGGUAAAGAAACCCCGGCUAACUCCGUGCCAGCAGA
Molecule: ribosomal RNA, 439 nt
Filed under: uncultured bacterium
Lineage: Bacteria
Description: bacterial SSU rRNA
Rfam family: Bacterial small subunit ribosomal RNA
Source: RNAcentral